This 398-nucleotide ribosomal RNA is filed under the name uncultured bacterium. RNAcentral describes it as "partial 16S ribosomal RNA". It matches the Rfam family "Bacterial small subunit ribosomal RNA", at positions 338 to 733 of the family's 1533-position model. The record is from RNAcentral.
CCUACGGGCGGCAGCAGUGGGGAAUAUUGGUCAAUGGACGAGAGUCUGAACCAGCCAAGUAGCGUGAAGGAUGACUGCCCUAGGGUUUUUAAACUUCUUUUAUAUGGGAGUUAAACAGGGUAUGCAUACCCUCUUCUAUGUACCAUUUGAUGAAGGAUCGGCUAACUCCGUGCCAGCAGCCGCGGUAAUACGGAGGCUCCGAGCGUUAUCCGGAUGUAGGGGGUGUAAAGGGUGCGUAGGCGGAUUGUUAAGUCAGUUGUGAAAGUUUGCGGCUUAACCGUAAAAUUGCAGUUGAAACUGGGAGUCUAGAGUACAGUAGAGGUGGGUGGAAUUCGUGGUGUAGCGGUGAAAUGCUUAGAUAUCAAGAAGAAUACUGAUUGCGAAGGCAACCCACUGGA